This is a long non-coding RNA of Tyto alba (common barn owl), 2008 nucleotides long. RefSeq lists it as uncharacterized. The transcript is spliced from 2 exons. Lineage: Eukaryota; Metazoa; Chordata; Aves; Strigiformes; Tytonidae. The record is from RefSeq and is a predicted model, not a curated record.
UUUUUCCUCGUAGUUCCCAUCCCUGCACGUCCUACCGCGAGUUUUUCUUCGGCUCGGCCAAGCAGGGGUUUCCCGGGAGCCGGCUCCGGCUCGUUAUCGGCCGCCUGGCCCGGCCCCCCGCGGCUUCGCGAGGGCGCUGCCGGCCGCGCGUUGCGCACGGACGGCACGGCAUGAGGGGGAGGAGAGGUGUGCGUGGCAGCGCCCACGCGAGGAGUGACCGCGGUGGGGCCGCCGUGGGGCUGCGGCGGGCCCGGGGGCGCGGAGGCGGAGGCAGCGGGUGGUGAGCCAGCAUCCCUCCAUAAGGGCUUCCCCCUCUGAAAGGAACCUCUUUCUGAUCGCGGAGGCCUUGGCUCCUGUGUCAGAGAUUGCGUGAAGUUAAUUAAGGAAUUCCUGUGUUCUAAUCCCUACAUCGGAACAAGCCAAGACUGACUGUCAUUUCUGGAGAGGCAAGAUGCAAAACCAGAAGUAAACAGGAUCUCGAUGCAACAAUACUGUUACCUAACAGGGACUGAUUCUUAUCCUAUGAUUGGAAUUAAUAUCAAGAUGCCGAAGUGCACAUUCCUCAGCAAAAAUCCAUAGUUUCCAAAUACAAAUGCGUGCUUUUGGACCCAAUGAGUAGUUCCAGUAGCUCUGUGUAGACUCUCAACAUGUGAGAAACAGCCUUUUGUAUAGCUCUUGAUCCUUACGUACAUGAGAGUCUCUGUGCCCUUAGUUACAUGUACUGGCCCUGGCUUGCUGAGCAUUUUUUUGUGUUGUCCAGCUACUGUCUUAGUUCAUCCUGUUGUUUGUUGCUUCCAAAUCAACAUCUGAGUCAAACCUUUACUAUUUUUCACUCUCACCCUGUAAACUCCCUGUACUACAGCUCCAGCCUGUCUUGGCUAAGCAGCAUAGCAUCAUAUAAGUGAGCUCCAAUCCUUUAUUUUUGUUUGGAAACAGUGCUUUUUCUCUGCAGUGGACUGUAAUGGAAGACUAUAACCUUGCAAUUGCUUGAUUUAUCUUCACUCAUCCCACUUUCAAAGCAGGAGUGUUCCAAGAGAAAUUGCAGAGACUUCGUAUUUUUCAUCUGCCCUUAGCUACUCAUAGAAUUGAGAGCAUGAUUCUGCUACUGGCAAAUUAAUCAGUCUUGAAACUUCACAAUUAAUCAUAGCAGAGCCAGUGCUCUGCUCAAGAACUUAGGAAGAAAAACCCUUACGGGUAUUAGGUGCCACAUUACCCCACAACUCAAAGAAUGUCUGUUCUAACUUUGCUGAACACAUCCCUGAAAGGAGUUCAUUUUAUUGCUGAUCCAAUUCUUAUGUCUCCUCUUAUCCAUGUGACAACUGCAACAAUUGAUUAAUACAGAAAAGUAAUAUUAGGAAAGUAUUUAUUUUUAGCUGCUUCUAAUGGGAUUUAGCAGCUGGAAAGAAGGAGAGCUGGCACGGAGCAAUCAGGGCAGUUCUUAGACAGCUGUGUGAGAAACUGUACCAGGCAAGGCUCUGAAAUACAUCACCUUUUUUUGUAUUUUAAGAAAUGCAAUAUAUGCAAUGAAAAAUUUGAAAACUAGACCUCAAUACUCGCAGCUUAGACAGUAACUCAAAGUGGAAUGGAAUUAAUUGUUAAAUCCAGUUCUGUAAUAACUUCUAGAUGAAAAUGCCCCUGGGUUUUGUGUGACUUUUUAAAUUUAGUGCUUAUGGCAGAUACUACUACCCAUCUUUGAAAGGCCUCAGGUUGGGAUUUAAAUUCCAUGCCACAUACAUUUUUAAGCAGAACAAAAAUGUAGUUACUUCUGCUCCUCUUUUCUCUUUAUGAACAGCAAUCUAAGAGACCCAUUUUCCUAUUUCGGAAGAAAGCAAUUUUCUGCAUGUUUGUGCCUAAGAAUUGCAGCCAGAAAAGUAUCUUGAUAAAAUGGCCCUGUAGUAUUCCAUGUGUUUUCUGACUGAAUGGUUCCUACACUGAGGUAGUUCCAUUUACAAAUCAAAUGUGUAAUUUUUCAGUGUAAGAACAGUAAACCGAGUCUUGAAUCUAAAAA